This 609-nucleotide ribosomal RNA is filed under the name Triticum aestivum (bread wheat). RNAcentral's name for it is "partial small subunit ribosomal RNA". Lineage: Eukaryota; Viridiplantae; Streptophyta; Magnoliopsida; Poales; Poaceae. The record is from RNAcentral.
AUGGAGGAUGUGAUCUACGAGGGUGGGCAGGGCCGUGCCUACGACCCCGACGAGACCAAAAGUCAGGAUGGCCGCGCCCAGUACGUUCCCGAUGAAGAGGCCAACGACCGUGAUGACUACGACCAUGGUGACUCAUGGCAUGAAGACAAUGACAUCUAUUGCGAAGGUGAUGGUGAUGAAGAAGACAACAAUGACAUUGAUAUUGGUGGCGAGCCAUUGUUCAUCGACGAGCUCACCCAAAGAGCGGAAGCACAAAAGAGGAGGAAGAGCAUUCGCACGGGUUCAUAUACACAAGAUGAGGACAAGUUGAUUUGCCAAUGUUGGAUGGAGAUUAGCCAAGAUCCGAAGACCGGCGCGCAACAAAAGGGCCUUGUUUUUUGGACGAGAGUCCACAAAAAUUUUCAUGAAAGGAAGAUGUUUGAGCCCUACCAAAUUACAAGCAAUCGUGGCAUCACCUCGAUUCAAAAGAGGUGGUUGUUCAUCCAACAAGAGUGUAACAAGUAUUGCGCCGCAUUUGAGAGCGUUGAAGCACGACCCGUGAGUGGUCUCGGCGUUGGGGACAUGGUAUGCUCUCCUUUCCUAGCCCUUUUCCUUGCUACAGCCAUGUGA